RNAcentral lists this ribosomal RNA (253 nucleotides) under uncultured Lachnospiraceae bacterium. Its description in RNAcentral is "partial 16S ribosomal RNA". It matches the Rfam family "Bacterial small subunit ribosomal RNA", at positions 524 to 776 of the family's 1533-position model. The record is from RNAcentral. Lineage: Bacteria; Bacillati; Bacillota; Clostridia; Lachnospirales; Lachnospiraceae.
UACGUAGGGGGCAAGCGUUAUCCGGAUUUACUGGGUGUAAAGGGAGCGUAGACGGUGAGACAAGUCUGAAGUGAAAGCCCGGGGCUCAACCCCGGGACUGCUUUGGAAACUGCCUGACUGGAGUGCUGGAGAGGCAAGCGGAAUUCCUAGUGUAGCGGUGAAAUGCGUAGAUAUUAGGAAGAACACCAGUGGCGAAGGCGGCUUGCUGGACUGAACCUGACGCUGAGGCGCGAAAGCAUGGGUAGCGAACGGG